AUGCGAUAAUUAGCGGGGCAUCAUGUUACUGUGUAUCGUUCUCAAAGUCCUCUGCAAAGUGAUCCUUUACCGGAUACAGGAGAAGAUUGACGCAACUCUCCGACGAAAGCAAGCAGCAUUCCGUGCCGGACGAUCCUGUGUGGACCAUAUUGUCAUGCUCCGUAUUAUUCUGGAGCAAAUCAGUGAAUUCCAAUGGUCUCUCUACCUGAUGUUUAUUGAUUACGAGAAAGCUUUCGACCGUCUCAAUCACGAAAACAUGUGGGAAGCCCUCAGGCGCAAGGGACUCCCUGAAAAAAUCAUCGGCUUUAUUGAAGCACAGUACAGGGCAUUUUCGUGCAGAGUACUGCACAACGGUGCGGUGUAUUGUCCGAUCCCAUCCGGUUUGUUGCUGGAUGGAGAUCUUUCAAUUCGGCUCUCGAAACCACCAUGGGUGCUCAGGACUGAAAGUAAGUGUGCAAGUGCUAGAACAGAAUAGAAAAGGAAAAGAUUUCCCCAUUAUUCCCCACUCCAUGAACAGUGGUUCUAAUUUUCGCUAUCAUAUCACCAUGUCCAAAUCAUAGCUUGUACAGCCCUAAUAGCGUAAAGCGUUCCACCAGGGCAGACCUCGUGUCAUGCUCGGGAAAGCAUCAUCGGUACAAAUAAAUUAAUUAAAAAAGAUAAUAAAUCGCUCGUUUUUAUGUUGGCGCUGGAAGUGCUUCAGGAUUACAAAUGAAUUGUGUGAGAAUGGUGUACCAUUUCACAGCGCACCGCCAGAGAGGGUGUAAGUGUGUAGAUACUGAAAUCCAGACUGUAUGGGUGAUGAAGCGGUGGAAUGACAAAUAGAGCUUCCGUAUCCGGUGCCCCUUGCUUCCUGCCGGAGAUAGACGUUCUCUUCAUCACACGGGUGCACGAAAACGAACGGAAAAGAUAAAACCCUUGCACUAGUGAACGAACACAUCACAACCACCAGUCGUCGUCGUCGUUUGCGUUGUGUGUAGGAAACAGUGAGCCACCUUGUUCAGGCCAGUGCGCUUCACCCAGCCGCGCUUCGUGUGGUGUGUUCCACGGAAAGCUGGCUAGAUUGUGAAUAAGUAGAUGAAAUAUGGGAAUAAAAGUGCUUUCUCAUGCUUCCGGUCGGGUACGCGGGACGACGACGGCUACCACGGGGACUAACGAAGUUAUUAUGCAUCAUCCCGACAGGAACAUCGGGGCACGGAGAGUGCCAGUUCAGUGGGUCACCCGGCGCGUUGCUGUCGUAUCGUGCUGUCAGGCACGCGGCUGUGGGAGGAUUCUACAAAGUAUGUCACUGGAAUUUGUGUGUUAUUUUGCAUGAUUACAUACAUGCAUAACUAUGAAAAGGUUGAAAGUCAAUUGUUCGGAGUUCUGAUACGCACUAAGAAUCAUAGUAAACAAAUUAAAUUUUAAAUGACAUCGUGCACCAAGAUAUAAUCACUUCGCCUUGUGGUGAGCUGAAGGCAGUUGUUCCUCGCACAUCCAGCUUUUCACUGUGUCUAGGGGCCCCGUUGCAUCUGUUAUGGCUAUAAGGAAGAUGGAGCACAGUUUUGGAUUUUAUGUUGAUACCAGAAAUGCAUGGGUAAAAUGUUCCUAUCUCAUGCUUGUACGAGUCCACCGAUGAUAAUUACAGCCAGCUGAGAGUUCUGCGAUUCCGGAAAAUGAAGAAAAAUCGAACGAAACAAGACCGCAUACGGGUAUUUAGCAAUACUAUGUUGAGGCUGAGGGUGACGAGUUCGAUUCCCAGUCGGUCCAGGAUAAUUUCGUUACGGAAAUUAAGAUUUUUGUUAUUUUCCAGGGUGGUCUAGAUAAUUGGAACAAUUAUUGUUUCGAUAGAGCACUGCCUGUGGGUGGCGUUUCACAAUCGAAUCAAGUCUUAGGUGAUUUAAUCAAUGGUUAUGGUGUUGUUAGUUGCUGAGCUGCCGGUACGUUGUUUACUCGGGCCUGAGGGACGACCGCCUCGAUAUUUUCGUCCGUCUCGGAGAAGUCCUCGUAAGUCGCGUUGUAGUCGAUGCUUCUCUGGAUGAGAUUCUUGAUGAUAGUUGAGCCACUUUGUUUUUUUUCGCCGAAUAUCUAUUACAAGUUUUAAUUUUGUGCAAUGUACCUUUUAUAACUUGUUAACUUUUCUCGACAAUCUUUCUUGAUUUUUAUGAUGUUGAUGUCCUCUGUGUCGAGAAAAUCAGCAAAUUAUUCAGAAUUGAACAGGCGAUUCAGUUGGUUACGAUGAUGAUGUCGAUAAGGUCAUGACACAAUGAUGAUGGUCAGUUCAAUAUUGGGGACUAAGAAUAUUUAUCUUUUGGACAGGUAGAGUAAAGUGGGGCAAAAGUUCGAGUGGGGCAAGAGUUUCUUUUGAAGUUUUUGAGCUAAAUUCAAAUUAUUUCUUUCGGGUGUCAAGGUUGUUCGAA
Long non-coding RNA from Aedes albopictus (Asian tiger mosquito), 2396 nucleotides. RefSeq lists it as uncharacterized. The transcript is spliced from 2 exons. NCBI's taxonomy places the organism in Eukaryota, Metazoa, Arthropoda, Insecta, Diptera, Culicidae. The record is from RefSeq and is a predicted model, not a curated record.